GGGUAAAAGCCUACCAAGGCCACUAUCUUUAGCUGGGCUGAAAGGAUGAUCAGCCACAUCGGGACUGAAACACGGCCCGAACUCCUACGGGAGGCAGCAGUGGGGAAUAUUGGACAAUGGGGGCAACCCUGAUCCAGCAAUACCGCGUGUGUGAAGAAGGCCUGAGGGUUGUAAAGCACUUUCAAUUGUGAAGAAAAGUUA
RNAcentral lists this ribosomal RNA (201 nucleotides) under bacterium enrichment culture clone PSHTC-023. Its description in RNAcentral is "partial 16S ribosomal RNA". It matches the Rfam family "Bacterial small subunit ribosomal RNA", at positions 255 to 455 of the family's 1533-position model. The record is from RNAcentral.